CGCUGGCGGUGCGCCUUAUGCAUGCAAGUCGAGCGAAGCUUUUCAGUAGUUUACUACAGAAAAUGACUGAGCGGCGAACGGGUGAGUAACGCGUGAGCAAUCUACCUUAGUUACAGGGAUAGCCCGAGGAAACUCGGAUUAAUACCUGAUAUUCUUUAUAUUUCGCAUGAAAUCAAAAGGAAAGGUCAGCCGAACUAAGAUGAGCUCGCGUUCUAUCAGCUAGUUGGUGAGGUAAAAGCUCACCAAGGCAACGACGGAUAGCUGGUCUGAGAGGACGAUCAGCCACACUGGGACUGAGACACGGCCCAGACUCCUACGGGAGGCUGCAGCAGGGAAUAUUGCGCAAUGAGCGAAAGCUUGACGCAGCGACACCGCGUGUGGGAUGACGGAUCUAGGUUUGUAAACCACUUUCAGGAGGGAAGAAAAUGACGGUACCUCCACAAGAAGCCCCGGCCAACUACGUGCCAGCAGCCGCGGUAAUACGUAGGGGGCGAGCGUUGUCCGGAUUUAUUGGGCGUAAAGAGCUCGUAGGCGGUUCAACAAGUCGGUCGUAAAAGUUCAGGGCUCAACCCUGAAAUGUCGAUCGAUACUGUUGUGACUAGGAUACGGUAGAGGUGAGUGGAAUUCCGAGUGUAGCGGUGAAAUGCGUAGAUAUUCGGAGGAACACCAAUUGCGAAGGCAGCUCACUGGGCCGCUAUCGACGCUGAGGAGCGAAAGCUAGGGGAGCAAACAGGAUUAGAUACCCUGGUAGUCCUAGCUGUAAACGAUGGAUACUAGACGUAGGAACUGGAUUGACGGUUUCUGUGUCGUAGCUAACGCGUUAAGUAUCCCGCC
RNAcentral lists this ribosomal RNA (834 nucleotides) under uncultured bacterium. RNAcentral describes it as "bacterial SSU rRNA". It matches the Rfam family "Bacterial small subunit ribosomal RNA", at positions 34 to 873 of the family's 1533-position model. The record is from RNAcentral.